RNAcentral lists this ribosomal RNA (444 nucleotides) under uncultured soil bacterium. Its description in RNAcentral is "bacterial SSU rRNA". It matches the Rfam family "Bacterial small subunit ribosomal RNA", at positions 26 to 518 of the family's 1533-position model. The record is from RNAcentral.
AGAACGAACGCUGGCGGCAUGCCUAACACAUGCAAGUCGAACGAGACCUUCGGGUCUAGUGGCGCACGGGUGCGUAACGCGUGGGAAUCUGCCCUUGGGUUCGGGAUAACAGUUGGAAACGACUGCUAAUACCGGAUGAUGACUUCGGUCCAAAGAUUUAUCGCCCAGGGAUGAGCCCGCGUAGGAUUAGCUAGUUGGUGAGGUAAAGGCUCACCAAGGCGACGAUCCUUAGCUGGUCUGAGAGGAUGAUCAGCCACACUGGGACUGAGACACGGCCCAGACUCCUACGGGAGGCAGCAGUGGGGAAUAUUGGACAAUGGGCGAAAGCCUGAUCCAGCAAUGCCGCGUGAGUGAUGAAGGCCUUAGGUGUAAAGCUCUUUUACCCGGGAUGAUAAUGACAGUACCGGAGAAUAAGCCCCGGCUAACUCCGCGCCCAGCAGCCGC